UGGGGGAUAUUGCACAAUGGGGGAAACCCUGAUGCAGCGACGCCGCGUGAGGGAAGACGGUAUUCGUAUUGUAAACCUCUGUCUUAGGGGACGAAAAAAGACGGUACCCUAGGAGGAAGCCACGGCUAACUACGUGCCAGCAGCCGCGGUAAUACGUAGGUGGCGAGCGUUGUCCGGAAUUACUGGGUGUAAAGGGAGCGUAGGCGGUAAAUUAGGUCUAUUGUAAAAGGCAGAGGCUCAACCUCUGUAUGCGGUAGAAACCGGUUUACUUGAGUGAAGUAGAGGCAAGCGGAAUUCCCAGUGUAGCGGUAAAAUGCGUAGAUAUUGGGAGGAACACCAGUGGCGAAGGCGGCUUGCUGGGCUUUUACUGACACUGAGGCUCGAAAGCGUGGGGAGCAAACA
Molecule: ribosomal RNA, 402 nt
Rfam family: Bacterial small subunit ribosomal RNA